RNAcentral lists this ribosomal RNA (458 nucleotides) under uncultured bacterium. RNAcentral's name for it is "partial 16S ribosomal RNA". It matches the Rfam family "Bacterial small subunit ribosomal RNA", at positions 338 to 795 of the family's 1533-position model. The record is from RNAcentral.
CCUACGGGAGGCAGCAGUGAGGAAUAUUGGUCAAUGGGCGAGAGCCUGAACCAGCCAAGUCGCGUGAGGGAGUACUGCCCUAUGGGUUGUAAACCUCUUUUGUCGGGGAGCAAAAGCCGGACGUGUCCGGCUGUGAGAGUACCCGAAGAAAAAGCAUCGGCUAACUCCGUGCCAGCAGCCGCGGUAAUACGGAGGAUGCGAGCGUUAUCCGGUUUUAUUGGGUUUAAAGGGUGCGCAGGCGGAUUUUUAAGUCAGCGGUAAAAUCGUGGGGCUCAACCCCAUCCAGCCGUUGAAACUGGGGAUCUAGAGUGUGCGAGAGGUAUGCGGAAUGCGUGGUGUAGCGGUGAAAUGCAUAGAUAUCACGCAGAACCCCGAUUGCGAAGGCAGCAUACCGGUGCACAACUGACGCUCAGGCACGAAAGCGUGGGUAUCGAACAGGAUUAGAUACCCUUGUAGUC